This is a non-coding RNA of Oesophagostomum dentatum (nodular worm), 45 nucleotides long. The record is from Rfam. Lineage: Eukaryota; Metazoa; Nematoda; Chromadorea; Rhabditida; Strongylidae.
CCAACGGCCCUCUUUAGGGCCACAUUCGAUCAAAUCAAUUACUUU